This 73-nucleotide transfer RNA is filed under the name Ailuropoda melanoleuca (giant panda). It matches the Rfam family "tRNA". Rfam says of the family: Transfer RNA (tRNA) molecules are approximately 80 nucleotides in length. Their secondary structure includes four short double-helical elements and three loops (D, anti-codon, and T loops). Further hydrogen bonds mediate the characteristic L-shaped molecular structure. tRNAs have two regions of fundamental functional importance: the anti-codon, which is responsible for specific mRNA codon recognition, and the 3' end, to which the tRNAs corresponding amino acid is attached (by aminoacyl-tRNA synthetases). tRNAs cope with the degeneracy of the genetic code in two manners: having more than one tRNA (with a specific anti-codon) for a particular amino acid; and 'wobble' base-pairing, i.e. permitting non-standard base-pairing at the 3rd anti-codon position. The record is from Rfam by way of RNAcentral. Lineage: Eukaryota; Metazoa; Chordata; Mammalia; Carnivora; Ursidae.
ACCUGGCUGGCUCAGUUGGUAGAGCAUGUGACUCUUAAUCUCAGGGUAAUGAGUUCAAGCCCCACACUGGGUG